GUGUUCCACGCUGUCGGUUCGCCGCCCGUCGGUGUUAACUGGCAUGUCCUGUGGAACGUCCUGCCGGUGGCGGUCCGGGCGCUCGGCCUUGCGUAAGGGCUCACUGCCCCGAAGCGGGUCGAGCAGUUCCGGCCGCCGGUCCAAUCCCGCCACGGUGCUCUUCACCGAGUGUCGAGGUGGGCCGGCACGUUUACUUUGAACAAAUUAGAGUGCUUAAAGCAGGCUGGUGUCCGCCUGAAUACUGUGUGCAUGGAAUAAUGGAAUAGGACCUCGGUUCUAUUUUGUUGGUUUUCGGAACCCGAGGUAAUGAUUAAUAGGGACAGGCGGGGGCAUUCGUAUUGCGACGUUAGAGGUGAAAUUCUUGGAUCGUCGCAAGACGAACCUAAGCGAAAGCAUUUGCCAAGUAUGUUCUCGUUAAUCAAGAACGAAAGUUAGAGGUUCGAAGGCGAUCAGAUACCGCCCUAGUUCUAACCAUAAACGAUGCCAGCCAGCGAUCCGCCGAAGUUCCUCCGAUGACUCGGCGGGCAGCUUCCGGGAAACCAAAGCUUUUGGGUUCCGGGGGAAGUAUGGUUGCAAAGCUGAAACUUAAAGGAAUUGACGGAAGGGCACCACCAGGAGUGGAGCCUGCGGCUUAAUUUGACUCAACACGGGAAACCUCACCAGGCCCGGACACCGGAAGGAUUGACAGAUUGAGAGCUCUUUCUUGAUUCGGUGGGUGGUGGUGCAUGGCCGUUCUUAGUUGGUGGAGCGAUUUGUCUGGUUAAUUCCGAUAACGAACGAGACUCUAGCCUGCUAACUAGGCGAUUUCCGGUACCCACAAUAGUGUUACCGGCGAUUCAAUUUCUUCUUAGAGGGACAGGCGGCUCCUAGCCGCACGAGACUGAGCAAUAACAGGUCUGUGAUGCCCUUAGAUGUCCUGGGCCGCACGCGCGCUACACUGAAGGAAUCAGCGUGUCUUCCCUGGCCGACAGGCCCGGGUAACCCGUUGAACCUCCUUCGUGCUAGGGAUUGGGGCUUGCAAUUGUUCCCCAUGAACGAGGAAUUCCCAGUAAGCGCGAGUCAUAAGCUCGCGUUGAUUACGUCCCUGCCCUUUGUACACACCGCCCGUCGCUACUACUAAUUGAAUGAUUUAGUGAGGUCUUCGGACUGGUGCGCGGCGAUCGGUUCUACCGGUCGCCGAUGUUGCCGGAAAGAUGACCAAACUUGAUCAUUUAGAGGAAGUAAAAGU
RNAcentral lists this ribosomal RNA (1228 nucleotides) under Aufidus sp. 3 JRC-2010. Its description in RNAcentral is "SSU rRNA". It matches the Rfam family "Eukaryotic small subunit ribosomal RNA", at positions 689 to 1789 of the family's 1831-position model. Lineage: Eukaryota; Metazoa; Arthropoda; Insecta; Hemiptera; Cercopidae. The record is from RNAcentral.